ACGGAUGGGGCCGGCUGGGCAGGCGCUGGUUUCCAAAACCAGUACAGACAGGUUCGAUUCCUGUCGUCCGUGC
RNAcentral lists this transfer RNA (73 nucleotides) under Planctomycetota bacterium. Its description in RNAcentral is "tRNA-Trp". It matches the Rfam family "tRNA". Rfam says of the family: Transfer RNA (tRNA) molecules are approximately 80 nucleotides in length. Their secondary structure includes four short double-helical elements and three loops (D, anti-codon, and T loops). The record is from RNAcentral. Lineage: Bacteria; Pseudomonadati; Planctomycetota.